UGAGACUUUCAAAUAAUGAAUUUAUAGUUUUAUUUAUAACCCACACCUGCUCCAAGUUUUCCUGUAUUCUUCCCAUUUCCAAACUCAAAAGUCAAAAUAUCCAGUCAGUUGACAGUGGAGCAGAGAAGGCGAGGGUUUCUGACACUUUUUCCCUAAUCUCUUUUUUUCUUCCCAAAUUCUUGGAAAUUUCUUUUGGUUCCAUCAUCUAGUGAGCUUAAUUGCAAUGAAAAUUGAGCAAUUUUAACUUCUGUUUCCUGUUUAAUGGCGAGUUGUCGUCAAAGAAAAUCCGAAGCGGAUGCAGGAAGGGAGGUAAUAAGUGAACUGCCAGCAGAAGUGAAGGAAAGGAUUUUGGAGUGCUUGCCAACUCGAGACGCGGCCAGAAAUGCUCUGCUCUCAACUCACUGGAACCAUGUUUGGUUGCGGCUUGGGCGGCUUGUGUUUGAUAGGGAAUUCUUCAAAUGCUUCUCAAAGUACGAAGAUGAGAAAGGUAUGGCUCAGAUUAGCGCAAUAAAUGAUAUUCUAAUGCUCAGUGUUGGACCCGUUAAGGAAUUUACUUUACACGUUUGCUACGCAUUGGAUCCUAAGCCCCAGCAGUCUGAUUUAGAUAGGUGGUGUCGUUUUCUUUCGAGAAAUGGUCUACAGGAACUUAGCUUGUUUAUUUCGGAUAAUCAUCAGCUGCCAUCUUGUAUAUUUUCCUGCCGGACAGUUAAGCAAUUGUUUCUGGGUGAUUUAAUUUUUGAUUUGUCGAUCCCUCGUUGUAUAUUUCCCAGCGCCACUUCAUUAGUGAUAAUGUUAAGGGAAUUGUGUACAGAAUUCCUAAUCUUGAGGAGCUGUCUUUCAGUCGUUGUAAAGGGAUCACUAAUUUUGAGAUCAGCAGUCCAAAACUUAAAAGCUUGAGGGUUAUCGGUUCUCUGUGUUGGUAGCUUGAUGAUUCCAGGUGGUUUACCCUGUAUUUGAGAACAAUUACGACUCUUUGCUUGAGUGCCAAUUUGUUGCCUUGUAAAAAUGCAGGAAUAGCCACAACGACAUUCCCGACCGCAAUAAAUUUGCGAGUGAUUGAGCUGUAUGAGUUAAGUUUUUCAUGUGGAGAGAAGCUUGCCUUUGUUUUGCAGUUGCUUCAACAUUCCCCCAACCUAUGUGAGCUGAAGAUUACUGCAUCAGAUAAUACUGUUGGAGGAUCCAAACAGUUGCAAGCAGGAUCUGAAGAUUCUUAACACAGUCAUGAUUGAAGGGUUUAGUGGAUCUACACCUGAAAAGUUUUUUGUGAAAAUGCUGCUCUUGAAAUCCCCUGCACUAGAGAGAUUUUUAAGUAUGGAAUAUGCUGAUAUUGAUAUCUCCGAAAGCCCAGAUUGUUUGCGUGGAACACGGCGACAUUGUGUCAGGACUAUUUAAUUACAUAUGGUUUUAACCUUGUAGGUGUUUAAUAUGAUGAGGCUCCAUGGGUUCAGUUUGGAUGCAAUAUAGAUCUGUAAGGCCAUGUUUGUGGUGGAAGUUGAAAUAUUAAUCUUGUAAGAUAAGGAUGGUACCUUGUUUCCUAUGUUGUUCAGUAAGUAUUAUGUUGUAAAGUAUUUUGAAUCUGUCUGUACGGACAACUCAGUUGGUACUUAAAUCGUGGUAGAUUGAAGGUUAUGAUGGACUUAACUUUUAUUGAGGGUGAAGUUUUUUGAAUCC
Molecule: RNA transcript, 1671 nt
Organism: Ipomoea nil (Japanese morning glory)
Lineage: Eukaryota; Viridiplantae; Streptophyta; Magnoliopsida; Solanales; Convolvulaceae
Exons: 3
Source: RefSeq, a predicted model, not a curated record